GAUGAAGAACGCAGCGAAAUGCGAUACGUAAUGUGAAUUGCAGAAUUCAGUGAAUCAUCGAAUCUUUGAACGCAUAUUGCGCUCUCUGGUAUUCCGGAGAGCAUGCUUGUUUGAGUAUCAGUAAACACCUCAACUCCCUUUUCUUUUUUGAAAUUGGAGCUGGACUUGAGUGAUCCCAACGCUUUCUUCCAAGAAAGUGGCGGGUUGCUUGAAAUGCAGGUGCAGCUGAACUUUUCUCUGAGCUAUAAGCAUAGCUAUUUAGUCUGCCUAAAAAACAGAUUAUUACCUUUGCUGCAGCUAACAUAAAGGAGACUAGUUCUUGUGCUGACUGAUGCAGGAUUCACAGAGACAGCUUCGGCUGACUUUGUAAACUCGAUCUCAAAUCAAGUAAGACUACCCGCUGAACUUAAGCAUAUCAAUAAGCGGAGGA
Molecule: unclassified non-coding RNA, 430 nt
Filed under: soil metagenome
Description: partial contains 5.8S ribosomal RNA, internal transcribed spacer 2, and large subunit ribosomal RNA
Rfam family: 5.8S ribosomal RNA (bases 1-120)
Source: RNAcentral